This 253-nucleotide ribosomal RNA is filed under the name uncultured bacterium. RNAcentral describes it as "partial 16S ribosomal RNA". It matches the Rfam family "Bacterial small subunit ribosomal RNA", at positions 524 to 776 of the family's 1533-position model. The record is from RNAcentral.
UACGUAGGGAGCAAGCGUUAUCCGGAAUUACUGGGCGUAAAGGGCGUGUAGGCGGCCAUUUAAACUAGGUGUUAAAGACCACGGCUCAACUGGGGGAAUGCAUUUAGAACUGGAUGGCUAGAGGACGAGAGAGGAGAGUGGAAUUCCUAGUGUAGCGGUGGAAUGCGUAGAUAUUAGGAGGAACACCAGUGGCGAAGGAGGCUUUCGGGCUCGUACCUGACGAUGAGGCGCGAAAGCGUGGGGAGCAAACAGG